RNAcentral lists this ribosomal RNA (356 nucleotides) under Mallodon downesii. RNAcentral's name for it is "SSU rRNA". It matches the Rfam family "Eukaryotic small subunit ribosomal RNA", at positions 1172 to 1489 of the family's 1831-position model. Lineage: Eukaryota; Metazoa; Arthropoda; Insecta; Coleoptera; Cerambycidae. The record is from RNAcentral.
AGGAGUGGAGCCUGCGGCUUAAUUUGACUCAACACGGGAAACCUCACCAGGCCCGGACACCGGAAGGAUUGACAGAUUGAGAGCUCUUUCUUGAUUCGGUGGGUGGUGGUGCAUGGCCGUUCUUAGUUGGUGGAGCGAUUUGUCUGGUUAAUUCCGAUAACGAACGAGACUCUAGCCUGCUAACUAGGCGUAUUUCGACAUCCCAAAGGCCCGCCGGUUUGGGGUCUUCGGACUCCUUUCCGCGCGCGGUUUUUACUGUCGGCGUACAAACAAUUCUUCUUAGAGGGACAGGCGGCUUCUAGCCGCACGAGAUUGAGCAAUAACAGGUCUGUGAUGCCCUUAGAUGUUCUGGGCCG